RNAcentral lists this ribosomal RNA (410 nucleotides) under Diolcogaster cf. basimacula 'W.-Y. Choi'. RNAcentral's name for it is "partial 16S large subunit ribosomal RNA". Lineage: Eukaryota; Metazoa; Arthropoda; Insecta; Hymenoptera; Braconidae. The record is from RNAcentral.
GUCUUAUUGAAUUUAUAAUUUUAAGUCAAAUCUGCUCAAUGAAUAUUUUAAAUAGCUGCAGUAUUAAUAACUGUACAAAGGUAGCAUAAUAAAUAGUUUUUUAAUUAAAAACUUGAAUGAAAGAUUUAAUGAAAUAUUAACUGUCUCAAAUUUAAAUAAUAAAAUUUUUAUUUAAGUAAAAAAACUUAAAUAAUUAAAAAAGACGACAAGACCCUAAAGAAUUUUUAUAAUUUUAUUAAUUUUAAAUUAAAAAAAUUAUUUUAAUUGGGGAAAUUUUAAAAUUUAAUUAACUUUUAAUUAAAAAAACAAAUAAAAUUGAAUUUAUUAUACUUUUUAAAAAAAUAAUAUAAAUUACCUUAGGGAUAACAGCAUAAUUUUUUUUUUAAGUUCAAAUUUUUAAAAAAGUUUAU